RNAcentral lists this long non-coding RNA (804 nucleotides) under Equus asinus (donkey). RNAcentral's name for it is "lncRNA (ENSEASG00005038694.1)". The record is from RNAcentral. Lineage: Eukaryota; Metazoa; Chordata; Mammalia; Perissodactyla; Equidae.
GGGACCCUGUGUGAGGAGGGACCCCGGGUGAGGAGGGACCCCGUGUGAGGAGGGGCCCCGUGUGAGGAGGGACCCCUGGUGAGGAGGGACCCUGUGCGAGGAGGGACCCUGUGCGAGGAGAGACCCCGGGUGACAGCCUGUGAGUGACGAUGACACCAUGUGACGGACAGCAGGCGGAUUCUGGCUUCUGGGGGAGAAUCACCCAGUUAGGGUGAGGGGAUUUCAGACCCGCCUCGGACAGCACAAGUUGCCCCCAAGACACAGAUGAGGACAGAGACCGGGCCAGAUGGGUGGCCAGCCAGGCUGGGCAGGUGUGAGUUUACCAGGGAAAGUGAGAUUGAGCCGUGCUGCUGUCAACUGAUUUGGAAGUUGUUUCCCUCCUUUUCUUUUUUCCUCCUUGGAAAAGAGAAACACCUGGGGUUCUUUUCUUUAAUAUUUUAAUUGAGGUAGUCAUGGUGAAUUGCGAUUUGUAUUCAUUCAUAAGUAAUUUCAUUAUUAAUUACCACAUGUAACUUAUAAUUGGUGUAUCUGAAAUAAAUUACAAGGCAGUUUUUGUUUCAUUAACUUCAAGAAAAUGCCUUAACCAAAAUUGGGCUAGAAGGUCAGUAAACGUGUCACCUUGGUCACAUAGUCUAACUUUUAGUCAGUGGAAGAAUAUUAGGUUAAAUCACACAUAGAGAAGGGGUUUUAAAAUCGUGCACAUCAGGGAAUUAAUAUUCCUGCCUGAUGAGUUGUCUUUACAAUGAAUAUGUUCACAAUGUAAUGGUUCAUAGCAAGAACUAUAAAGCCAUGCUGGGUUGAAUU